AUGAUUCAUCAAUUCCACUCCUCCCGCCUACAGACGUCUAAAUUUCAGUUUUCUGAGAAGCUACAAAGCGUGAAGUGGCAUCUCCGCAUUGAGUCAGAGGACACUGAGUGUUAAACUGUAAUACCGCCAAGAGUUUGGUGUCAACCCUCUUAACCUGUUUUCCGGUGAAACUGAGGCUUGGAGAUCAAAGCAGAUGCUGAGAUGUCUCACCAAGUACUACUGCCUUUCUUGUCAAGAUCAAGAAACCACAGUUUCAGGGCCACUUUCCUUGGGAAUCCAACUCAACAAGGAAGACUGCUUGUGCCCAAAGUCAAGAGCAAGGAGGAAGAUCUGAGAUUUCAACAUGACUCUGUUUCAAAGACUGUGUUCCUUUCUCUCUGCUGUUCCUGUUUCCAUCAAAAGACCAUCCGUCUUUCCCUUCUCAGAGGGGCAGAAACUUUUUUUCAGUCUCUCUCUCCAAGCACCAAGAUGCUUACCUUUCACCAGAGGAAAGUGGGGAAGUGUGGCCUCAGGGAGGAUGAGUAAUCACAUAGACCCAGCACAUAGAUGUGUUUUGUUUGUCCUGUGUUGUCCUUUAAAAUGAUGGGUCAGUAUUUUUUUGAUUAGAAGAUUUGACCCCAAAAUACAGAUUACCAGCUUCUCUUGAAAAACCAG
Molecule: long non-coding RNA, 654 nt
Filed under: Capra hircus (goat)
Lineage: Eukaryota; Metazoa; Chordata; Mammalia; Artiodactyla; Bovidae
Description: lncRNA (ENSCHIG00000004194.1)
Source: RNAcentral